GGGGCGGUGGUCAAGUGGGAUGACGCCCUGCCUUGUAGGCAGGGAGGUCGGUGGUUCGAACCCAUCCCGCUCCA
RNAcentral lists this transfer RNA (74 nucleotides) under Colletotrichum orbiculare MAFF 240422. RNAcentral's name for it is "tRNA-Thr (TGT) (tRNA-Thr-TGT-14-1)". It matches the Rfam family "tRNA". From Rfam's summary of the family: Transfer RNA (tRNA) molecules are approximately 80 nucleotides in length. Their secondary structure includes four short double-helical elements and three loops (D, anti-codon, and T loops). Lineage: Eukaryota; Fungi; Ascomycota; Sordariomycetes; Glomerellales; Glomerellaceae. The record is from RNAcentral.